Molecule: ribosomal RNA, 468 nt
Filed under: uncultured bacterium
Lineage: Bacteria
Description: partial 16S ribosomal RNA
Rfam family: Bacterial small subunit ribosomal RNA
Source: RNAcentral
GACGAACGCUGGCGGUGUGCUUAACACGUGCAAGUCGAACGGUAAGGCCCUUUCGGGGGUACACGAGUGGCGAACGGGUGAGUAACACGUGAGUAACCUGCCCUCAUCUCUGGGAUAACAGUCGGAAACGGUUGCUAAUACUGGAUAUGAGCUUGCAAGGCAUCUUGUGGGUUGGAAAGAUUUUUUUUGGUUGGGGAUGGACUCGCGGCCUAUCAGCUUGUUGGUGAGGUAGUGGCUCACCAAGGCUUCGACGGGUAGCCGGCCUGAGAGGGCGAACGGCCACAUUGGGACUGAGAUACGGGCCAAACUCCUACGGGAGGCAGCAGUGGGGAAUAUUGCACAAUGGACGGAAGUCUGAUGCAGCAACGCCGCGUGCGGGAUGACGGCCUUCGGGUUGUAAACCGCUUUCAAUUGUGACGAAGCUUUUUUGUGACGGUAGCAGUAGAAGAAGCACCGGCUAACUACGUG